RNAcentral lists this transfer RNA (77 nucleotides) under Fodinibius salipaludis. RNAcentral's name for it is "Aliifodinibius sp. WN023 tRNA-Asp". It matches the Rfam family "tRNA". Rfam says of the family: Transfer RNA (tRNA) molecules are approximately 80 nucleotides in length. Their secondary structure includes four short double-helical elements and three loops (D, anti-codon, and T loops). The record is from RNAcentral. Lineage: Bacteria; Pseudomonadati; Balneolota; Balneolia; Balneolales; Balneolaceae.
GGUCCGGUAGUUCAGCUGGUUAGAACGCCUGCCUGUCACGCAGGAGGUCGCGAGUUCGAAUCUCGUCCGGAUCGCAA